This 207-nucleotide ribosomal RNA is filed under the name uncultured bacterium. RNAcentral's name for it is "partial 16S ribosomal RNA". It matches the Rfam family "Bacterial small subunit ribosomal RNA", at positions 568 to 774 of the family's 1533-position model. The record is from RNAcentral.
CCAGUAGGCGGCCAACUAAGUCCGACGUGAAAUCCCCAGGCUCAACUUGGGAACUGCGUCGGAUACUGGAUGGCUUGAAUUCGGGAGAGGGAUGCAGAAUUCCAGGUGUAGCGGUGAAAUGCGUAGAUAUCUGGAGGAAUACUGGUGGCGAAGGCGGCAUCCUGGACCGAGAUUGACGCUGAACGGCGAAAGCUAGGGGAGCAAACG